AGCCCACCCAACCAUCACCCACCUCCCGCACCCGAUCCCGACCCAGUUGGCGUCGCCCCAGGAACCCCCCCUACCAACCCACUGCCCCGUCCCUGAACCCUCGCGUCGCCGAGGCCCCCGUCCUGACCUCGCGCGCCGCCGCCGCCCUGACCUCGCGCGCCUCCGCCGCCGCCCCGACAAGCCAAUGCGCCGCCGCCCCAAGAAACCACCAAUUCGGAUUCACCGUCGCCCACCCACACCAGCUCGCCGGUACCACCCCAGACCCCCUAGCCCUCGCCAACAUCUCCACCACCCAGCGCGAACCCUUCACCACCAACUCUGACGUCGUCGUCGCCGCCCACCAUCCAAUGCACCCCUGCUGCAUCUACCGUCCCGCGUGAGCACCGGUGCGCAUGGAUCCGGCAGGAUCCCGACCUGACUGGGCCAGGGUUGAUAUUCGCAGGCACUGGGGUCAUCGCGGACUGCGCCCCAGCCGUCGCCGUGGACUUCUCCGCAUCGCCGGCGGUAGCAGCAAUAGAAACUGGUGCUGGUUGGGACGGCCCGACAUGGAACUCCCACUGUCAGUGCCGUGCCACCAAGAUGAGGAAUCAGGUUCAGACAUUCCCAAACCCCACGCCUAGCGGAGUAUUUUUUACAAGAGAGGAACCAAGUUGCGUACCUGGUCGGGCAUGACCUCCCAGUUGAUACCGCUGAUGUUGAUCCCGACGUAGAGGCAAGCCUUGUAGUGGGCAUUCACGAUGUCGCGCCCGAACACCUUGUCGGCGCCGGCGGUACAGUAGUUUGGCCCCUGCACAAAUGCACACAAUCAAUAUCAUCUGAAAACCUACUACCUCCAGUGAACUGUGGACAAUUUUGAGUUCAAGAACAUAUUUGUUUUAUGUUUUAUAUGUAAGCUUGAACAGAUUUGUUGAGAAUUUUCUUGCCUGAGGGCCAUGGUAGCCACCAAUGGGCCAACGAAGAGAUAAGGAUACGAAGGCUCCCUUGCAGAGAGUUGGCUCUGGUCGUGCUUGAGGCCGCCGUUGCUUAUGGCCGCUGUACACCAAGUGCAAAGACGUUUUAUGAAAAGUUCUAGUACAGCUAUAUGGUGGCCGCCCUGAAGUUCUACUAUGGAUGUAAGCAAAGGUCUACAACGGCUAUACGCCGACUGUCACGCUAGUUUGCAUGACUUGCUGCUGCAGGUUGUAACCUUUCAACCUUUUAGCUUGUUGUUUUGAAGUCUCUAUUGAACGUUCUUCUGAACUUGUGAUAUGAAGCUGCUACUUUUGUGAUCGAUUGGAUAUAUACAGAGGCCUGCUCUCAAUUUCUCUUCUCCCAGGCGUGUGUAGCUGGUGGCUUGUGCGGAAUCAACUCACAUAGUCUUCCAAAUUUCCAAAAGAACCGAAGUUCAGUUUCUAUCAAGUUACAAGUUCAGAGUUUAUUUCUGUAAUAUCUGAAGAAGACUAGCAAAAGAUUAUACUGCUCACUGCACAAAAAGAAAACUUGUACUUCUCUC
This is a long non-coding RNA of Triticum dicoccoides, 1492 nucleotides long. RefSeq lists it as uncharacterized. Lineage: Eukaryota; Viridiplantae; Streptophyta; Magnoliopsida; Poales; Poaceae. The record is from RefSeq and is a predicted model, not a curated record. The transcript is spliced from 2 exons.